Molecule: non-coding RNA, 444 nt
Organism: Ceratotherium simum simum (southern white rhinoceros)
Lineage: Eukaryota; Metazoa; Chordata; Mammalia; Perissodactyla; Rhinocerotidae
Source: RefSeq, a predicted model, not a curated record
AGAGGCAGGCAGCGAGAGGGGAGGGAGCCCAUGGGCAAUAUCCAGAUGUCUCUUUGGUGCCCAGCAGUCCCCAUGGAGUUCUGUGGGAGUUGAGCAACAGCCAAGAGAUGGAUUGUGUCCCAGUGAGGACAAACUGCCCUUCACUCAUCUCCUCCUCAUCUUUGGACGGGGGAGUAAGCAAACUCAUACACUUGUUGCAGACAAGGGAACAACAUCUGACAGCAUUCAAAUCCAGCCGCAGUUGAAAGUCACACCAGUGGUCCCUGCUGUACCCCCAACCCCCACUGAAAGCCCAAUCCCCAAGGAGUGAGUGCUCUCUCGUGAAUUGCAAGGGUUUUAUUGCUGGAAUCUUCUAGUCAGACACCUGGACAUGGCAGAUUGCUGAGACUACUUAGUGAUCAGGCAAGUGGCUUCCUUGGGGCUCCUGGCAAGGAUGGCUCCAUU